RNAcentral lists this ribosomal RNA (405 nucleotides) under uncultured bacterium. RNAcentral describes it as "bacterial SSU rRNA". It matches the Rfam family "Bacterial small subunit ribosomal RNA", at positions 355 to 774 of the family's 1533-position model. The record is from RNAcentral.
UGGGGAAUUUUACGCAAUGGGGGAAACCCUGACGUAGCGACACCGCGUGAGCGAAGAAGCCUUUUGGGGUGUAAAGCUCUGUCAGCUGGAACGAACACAAUGACAGUACCAGCAGAGGAAGCAUCGGCUAACUACGUGCCAGCAGCCGCGGUAAGACGUAGGAUGCAAGCGUUGUCCGGAUUCAUUGGGCGUAAAGAGUUCGUAGGUGGUCUGGUAAGUUUGGUGUUAAAGAGCGGGGCCCAACCCCGAUAGUGCACUGAAUACUGGCAGACUUGAGUGCGGUAGAGGUAAGUGGAAUUCCAAGUGUAGCGGUGAAAUGCAUAGAUAUUUGGAAGAACACCCGUGACGUAAGCGACUUACUGGGCCGUAACUGACACUGAGGAACGAAAGCCGGGGUAGCGAAUG